Molecule: ribosomal RNA, 115 nt
Filed under: Cordylochernes scorpioides
Lineage: Eukaryota; Metazoa; Arthropoda; Arachnida; Pseudoscorpiones; Chernetidae
Source: RNAcentral
ACGGCCAUUACACAUUGUAAACACCGGUUCUCUUCCUAUCACUGAAGUUAAGCAAUGUCAGGCCUGGUCAGUACUUGGGAGGGUGACCACCUGGGAACACCAGGUGCUGUAGGCU